Molecule: ribosomal RNA, 477 nt
Filed under: uncultured bacterium
Lineage: Bacteria
Description: partial 16S ribosomal RNA
Rfam family: Bacterial small subunit ribosomal RNA
Source: RNAcentral
GAUUAACGCUGGCGGCGUGCAUAACACAUGCAAGUCGAACGAUGAAACUUAAAUGAUUUCUUCGGAAUGAACUUAAGUGGGUUAGUGGCGGACGGGUGAGUAACGCGUGAGUAACCUGCCUUACACAAGGGGAUAGCCGUUGGAAACGACGAAUAAUACCCUAUGAAACUAUCACUUCGCAUGAAGCGAUAGUCAAAGUGUUAGCGGUGUAAGAUGGACUUGCGUCUGAUUAGCUAGUUGGUGAGAAAAAAGCCCACCAAGGCAACGAUCAGUAGCCGGCUUGAGAGAGUGUACGGCCACAUUGGGACUGAGACACGGCCCAGACUCCUACGGGAGGCAGCAGUGGGGAAUUUUGCACAAUGGGGGAAACCCUGAUGCAGCGACGCCGCGUGAUUUAGAAGGCCUUCGGGUUGUAAAAAUCUUUUGUAUAGGAAGAAAAUGACAGUACUAUACGAAUAAGGUCCGGCUAAUUACGUG